GGGGGCUUAGCUCAUCUGGUAGAGCGCCUGCCUUGCAAGCAGGAGGUGGCGGGUUCAAGCCCCGCAGCUUCCA
RNAcentral lists this transfer RNA (73 nucleotides) under Mycobacteroides abscessus. Its description in RNAcentral is "tRNA-Ala". It matches the Rfam family "tRNA". From Rfam's summary of the family: Transfer RNA (tRNA) molecules are approximately 80 nucleotides in length. Their secondary structure includes four short double-helical elements and three loops (D, anti-codon, and T loops). Further hydrogen bonds mediate the characteristic L-shaped molecular structure. tRNAs have two regions of fundamental functional importance: the anti-codon, which is responsible for specific mRNA codon recognition, and the 3' end, to which the tRNAs corresponding amino acid is attached (by aminoacyl-tRNA synthetases). tRNAs cope with the degeneracy of the genetic code in two manners: having more than one tRNA (with a specific anti-codon) for a particular amino acid; and 'wobble' base-pairing, i.e. permitting non-standard base-pairing at the 3rd anti-codon position. RNAcentral also lists the same sequence under 11 other names. The record is from RNAcentral. Lineage: Bacteria; Bacillati; Actinomycetota; Actinomycetes; Mycobacteriales; Mycobacteriaceae.